GACGAACGCUGGCGGCGUGCUUAACACAUGCAAGUCACGGGGGCUCGCAAGGGCAACCGGCGAACGGGUGCGUAACACGUGAGCAACUUACCGAUUUGUGGGGGAUAGCCGGCCCAACGGCCGGGUAAUACCGCAUACGCUCUUUGGGUGGAGUCACCUGAAGAGGAAACCUCCGGGGCAAAUCGAGGGGCUCGCGGCCUAUCAGCUAGUUGGUGCGGGUAACGGCCCACCAAGGCGAUGACGGGUAGCGGUCUGAGAGGAUGGCCAGCCACAUUGGGACUGAGAAACGGCCCAGACUCCUACGGGAGGCAGCAGUGGGGAAUCUUGCGCAAUGGCCGAAAGGCUGACGCG
This 351-nucleotide ribosomal RNA is filed under the name uncultured bacterium. Its description in RNAcentral is "bacterial SSU rRNA". It matches the Rfam family "Bacterial small subunit ribosomal RNA", at positions 28 to 390 of the family's 1533-position model. The record is from RNAcentral.